RNAcentral lists this long non-coding RNA (356 nucleotides) under Androctonus crassicauda. Lineage: Eukaryota; Metazoa; Arthropoda; Arachnida; Scorpiones; Buthidae. The record is from RNAcentral.
CUUUAAAAGACAUUAGACCGUCGGUACCACCACUCCAGUGGGCUGGUGUAUACAUCGUUCCUAUCUGUAGCAGGGAUUUGGAUGUGUUGGAGGUGUGGUGGGAUCCCUAAGCGCCUACUAGGGGAGCGCAAAAGCAGUAUGGAGGGGAUGACCUUUAACACAGCACUUGUCGGGCAUUUUUGCCAGUAUGAUGAUCAGCAUAGAAUGGAAUCAGGCGCGAGGCCAUUAUAUAAGAGGUCCUACAUCAUAAAUGACAAUCCUCCUGUUAACAUACCACCUCAAUGGCUUGUAUAGUCUUGAUAUAUAACGGAUCCACGAUUGCCACCAAUUUUAUUUGUUACAGUUGACAAUCUUAU